Molecule: RNA transcript, 1957 nt
Organism: Caenorhabditis elegans
Lineage: Eukaryota; Metazoa; Nematoda; Chromadorea; Rhabditida; Rhabditidae
Gene: kin-33
Gene name: Non-coding transcript of protein-coding gene kin-33
Exons: 6
Source: RefSeq, marked reviewed
AUGGCCGGAAUCGCUCAAAGCACUACUUCCCCUGCCUCUGCCACCACAGAAAAACCCAUCUACAACGUGGUCCGUUUCCUCAGUGAAGGUACCUAUGGACAAGUCUCUUUGUACGAAAGCUCCAAAAACCCCGACGUCAAAAUCGCGGUCAAACAAAUCUCAACUGCUGGUCAGUCGGAACGCUUUGUGGAGCACAUCAAAACUGAGUUCGCAAUUCACAAAGGCCUGUCAAAGAUCGGUGGUCAUAGGAACGUAAUCUCUAUGAUGGAAAUGCGCAAGGGCUCAGAUUGCUACACCCUGCUGAAGGAGUAUGCAGAUGGAGGUGACCUGUUCAAAAAGCUUGAAACCGAAGGUGAACAGUAUUCAGAAAAUGCACAAUGCUUUUUUAAGCAGCUAAUUUCGGGGCUCAAAUUCAUCCAUGAGCAUGAAAUUGUGCAUCGAGACAUUAAGCUUGAGAAUCUUCUUUUGAUGAAAUCAAAAUCAAAUCUUGUGCCAGACACGUUGAAAAUUGCGGAUUUUGGAUUAGCCACCGAAUACAUGGUUGACGGAGAGGAGCUCAUGCUCGUGGAUAACUGUGGAUCCCCUCCGUAUGCGGCUCCAGAAGUAUACUCUAAACAAGGGCAUCGCGGCCCACCAACCGAUGUUUGGUCUUCAGGAGUUAUUUUGAUGGCGAUGCUCACUGCAGGGCUUCCGUGGGAUUGUGCGCACAGAAAAGACGUCGACUACGCCGCCUGGAUCGACAAAAAGUUCCGAACGGACAACUUAUGGAAUGACAUUUCCGACCGGGCUCUUGCACUCCUCCGCAAAAUUCUUUGCGUCAAUGUCAGUGAGAGAGUUAGUAUUGAGCAAAUCGAGGCGGAUCCAUGGUUCACAUUUGACUACGCAAAAAGGAUCGCAAGUCAAAAGCCUAGUGCAAGAUCAUGCUACAUUCCAGUAAAACAAUGUCUGCCACAGAAUCCACUACCACUACCCCACCUGCUUCCACCGAAAAGUACCAAGUUCUGGGACUUCUUGGAAAAGGAACAUUCGGCAAAGUUCUGCUCAUUGAGCUAGAGUCACUCCCAGGAGAAGCGGUGGCAAUGAAAGAGAUCGAAGCAUCCGGAGAACACGUGGAGCAAAUCACGCUGAAUGUCAAAAAAGAGUACAUCUUAACAAAGCGACUUUCCGCGCCAGGCCAUGAAAAUGUGAUCCGGUUUUUGUCGAUUCGGACGAUGCCAGAACAUUAUUUUUUAAUUAUGGAGUACGCUGAUGGUGGAGAUCUUUUUGAUAAAAUCUCGUCAGAAUACAGGCUUACUUCAAGCCAAGCCCAUGGAUAUUUCAAGCAACUCAUCGCUGGGCUCAGGUACAUUCACUCAAAAGGUGUGACCCAUCGGGACAUCAAGCCCGAAAAUUUGAUGCUUACUAAAGCUGGAGUUUUGAAAAUCACCGACUUUGGACUUGGAACCUUGCAUAUUAUCAAAGGAGAAGAAUCGCUUAUGGACACCCGAUGUGGGACACCUCAAUACGCUGCACCUGAAGUUUUGGUUGGAAAUCAAUACCGUGGACCGCCCGUAGACAUUUGGUCAGCUGGAGUUGUGCUCAUUAAUAUGUUGACUGGGCAUAGCCCAUGGAAAAAGGCGUGCAAAUCCGAUGCCUCCUACACUCGCUGGUUCAAUGACGAAUGCACCGAAAGAGAUGCGUGGUCUGAUCUUGGUGCUCGUGUAAUCACACUUCUUUGCUCAAUUCUUGCUCACAACCCAACACAUCGAGCGCCAAUUGAGCUCAUUGAACAGGACCACUGGUUUCAGUUUGGUGAUGAGGAAACUGUUGAAAUCACUUCCGCUUCAUCAACCAGUUGCAACUCCGAAGCCAAAUCCAGCAGAAAACGGAAAAUUGAGCAGACUAUUGAAUCCCGUAAUGUCUUCGAUUACAGCUCAAAAAGCAAAAAAAUGAAAAGGAGAACCCUUUCUGCAUAGUG